UACGGAGGGUGCAAGCGUUAUCCGGAUUCACUGGGUUUAAAGGGUGCGUAGGUGGGUUGGUAAGUCAGUGGUGAAAUCUCCGAGCUUAACUUGGAAACUGCCAUUGAUACUAUCAGUCUUGAAUACCGUGGAGAUGAGCGGAAUAUGUCAUGUAGCGGUGAAAUGCUUAGAUAUGACAUAGAACACCAAUUGCGAAGGCAGCUCGUUACACGAAUAUUGACACUCAGGCACGAAAGCGUGGGGAUCAAACAGG
This 253-nucleotide ribosomal RNA is filed under the name uncultured bacterium. RNAcentral's name for it is "partial 16S ribosomal RNA". It matches the Rfam family "Bacterial small subunit ribosomal RNA", at positions 524 to 776 of the family's 1533-position model. RNAcentral also lists the same sequence under 1 other name. The record is from RNAcentral.